UUUUCAUCCAGAAUGAACAUUUUUAUUAGGGCUGAGAAAUGAUUUUGAUUGGGAGUUCUAUGUCAAAUCCAAGGGGAGGGGUGGGCCACUGUAAGGUCCUACGAGAGUAUUUGGAGGAGGUGGGCAGGAGAGGGAAGGAGGCAGACGUCAGACCUGGCGGUUCCAUGACCCGUCUUGGGACUAUGAGGCAGUAUAGGCCAAAGGACAAGGGGUAAGGAGGGCGAGGAAAAAAUGCCAAAGAUAGUGGGUCAUCUACCUCAUAGAGACAGGCCCGAGUGCCCACUCCCAGGCUCCUUAGCUCUUCAUUGAGCGUUCGGUUUUCUAACAUCUGCAGCCAAACGCACACGGAAUACAUCGAUAUCCAAUGAGAUUGGAAAGAAUGAGGCUGACUCAGUGAGAGGGAAGAACAAAGACUCGAGUGAAAGGGUAAGCAGGCUCAGUCUUCCAGAGAUCACACGGGGCCCAAAAACACACAGCUUACUUCUCUGCCCGCCGACAAGACAGAAGUCCUGACUAAAAGAAUAAAUGCAUCAUUACAUUCAAUACAAUGAUGCCCAAAGCUCGAACUGGCUGUCUCAAAUUUAACUCUGUCCUUCUGUGCUUUGAUUGCGAAUAUGAAAAUGCAUGCUUCUACGCUAAAGCUGGAUGUUUUGCAUCCUACAGAGAAAAGAAUGGAACAGAUUUAGAAUCAAUUUAGUAUUUCUCUUGCAAUCCAUUUGGAGGAGUUCCCACUGAGAACUCAUCUGCCUCACUCUCUCUGCAGCCGUCUUUAAUAAGAUCUGUGCGGAAAAAUAAGUAGUAACACUGGGUAGCCUGUUUUGACUCUUGUAUAUGCUAUUUGGAAAUUAAAGCCACUAUGGCAAGCUGGCAGAAUACAGGACAGGGCCCGUGAAAAAUGCUGGACUGAUCAAUAUUUAAGAAUGCACAGGCAAGAGCAAUAAAUAAAUGGAGCAAAUGCAACGGGGAGGUGAAUCUAGGACAGGUACAUAUACCCUCCAAACAAAGAUGAAUCCCUUUUUGUGGCAAGAAACACAGUGCAACACUGAAUGCUCCAUCAGUGCAACGUGCAGUCCCAAGAUGCUGGUCUUGAGAGAAAGGAUUUCUUCAUGCUCAACACGGCAGAUGAGCCGAUGUUGGUUCAGAAACAGAGAUACAGAAACAGAAACAGCGAAGUAACAGGCUGAGAACAGGAGCCAGCAAUGGAUGGUCGAGAGCGAAUCCACGGGCAUGCUUGCAACGUUCACUGUGUUCGCCUUGAAAUUCUUUUUCUUUUCCAACAAAGUGCAAAUAUCUUUAGUCUGAUUCAGUAACAUAGCAGCAAAACUGCAGGGACCAAUAAAUAAGGAUGCUGACAAGCCACUGCCCCUUGGCCUUUCAGACUCAAAGCUUCGCCAACCUCAGCCUUCAACAGAAGGGGCAAAUGUGUCGUGACUCAGCAACUGUGUUCCGUGUCCUUGUACAAACCACACUGUUCAUACCCACCCCCAUGCCC
RNAcentral lists this long non-coding RNA (1492 nucleotides) under Sus scrofa (pig). RNAcentral describes it as "lncRNA (ENSSSCG00005005566.1)". Lineage: Eukaryota; Metazoa; Chordata; Mammalia; Artiodactyla; Suidae. The record is from RNAcentral.